GUGAGGAGAGCGGCGGGGGAUUCUCCACCGCGCCAUUUCGCAGCCGGGCAGCCUGAGCCGGCCGCCGGCGGGCAGGGCCGGCGGGCUCCUCAGCUCGGCCGGGCGGGCCGGCACCCCCCGCCGGGCCGGCCGUGCCCGUCCCCCCGCUCCGGCGGCGUGAGGGGCGGCGGCGGGCCGGCACCGUCCCCGUCCCCGCCGGCGGGCAGCGGCGUGUGGAAGGAAGGGAGGGAUCAAGAUGGCUGCGGCGGCGGCGGCGCGGGCGGCCCUUACCUGUUUUCUCCUUGAUCUCGCAGAGGACACUGAACAAGGCUUUGGUCAGUGAUGGUCAUGAUCUGAUGGAGGAUGUCGCCGAUGUCCUGCUUCCUGCCGUCGCCGUCUGCCCCGUCGUGCCCGUGGGGAGGCGGCAGGGCCAUGCCCCCCUGCACCGAGUGGCCGGCCAGGUUCACGCCGGCCAGGGUCUGCAGCAUCCGGGACUGAUCGUCCAUCGCCUCCGGCCGCGGCCCGGCCGGGCGUGGGGGCGGCGGCUCCGCUCGGCCCCGGGCUCCGCUCGGCCCCGGCUCGGCUCAGUCCCGGCUCCGCGCUCCCGGCCCCGCUCCGGCACACGCACACCGCGACCGGGGCAGCGGGGGCGGAGGGGAGGAACGCCAGGCGAGACACCGACAACAACAAAAAAAUCGGUAUUUGUGUUUGACCGGAUCUCAGCUGUUUAUUCCACUCUCUUCUCCUUCCCCGUGCAGUAAAUCACUCUCUUCUUUAGUUACAAUCUUCUUUCAUCAUCAUCAUAUUUGUGGCUCGGAUAAAUGACUCGAUAAGGUUUCUUUGCAGUUUUCUUUUCUUGGUACAAUCUUCCUCCAAAGCUUGUUUGGUUUGGGGUUAGUUUUGGGUUUUUUUUCCUCCCCUGUUUUUUUAAAUUUUUAUUGUUGCUUUUUAUGCCUUUCCCCACUUGUCCAAAAAUCUUCUUUGCAAAAAGGCAAAAUUAAAAAAAAAAAUAAUACAAAAGCAAAAAAAA
Phalacrocorax carbo (great cormorant) is the source of this 1009-nucleotide non-coding RNA. Lineage: Eukaryota; Metazoa; Chordata; Aves; Suliformes; Phalacrocoracidae. The record is from RefSeq and is a predicted model, not a curated record.